RNAcentral lists this ribosomal RNA (468 nucleotides) under uncultured bacterium. RNAcentral describes it as "partial 16S ribosomal RNA". It matches the Rfam family "Bacterial small subunit ribosomal RNA", at positions 28 to 507 of the family's 1533-position model. The record is from RNAcentral.
GACGAACGCUGGCGGCGUGCUUAACACAUGCAAGUCGAACGGCAAGGCAGUACUUUUUUGCUGUGCUCGAGUGGCGAACGGGUGCGUAACACGUGAGUAACCUGCCCUUUACUUUGGGAUAACUUCAGGAAACUGGGGCUAAUACCGGAUAGGAUCUCCUGCUCGAUGGUAGGGGUUGGAAAGUUGCGGCGGUCGGGGAUGGACUCGCGGCUCAUGAGCUUGUUGGUGGGGUAGUGGCUUACCAACGCUGUGGCUGGUCGCCUGCCUGGGAGCUGGGCCGGGGACAUUGGUACUGAGGGAGGCCGCAGAAGCGUACUGGGGGCAGUAGGGGGAAAUAUGACACAAUGGUCCGGAGCCGGAGGCGGCAGCGCCGCGGUCGUGAGGACGUCAUGCGGGUUGUGAACCGCUGUCGCCUGAGACGAAGCGGUAGUGACGGUAAUGGGUAAAGAAGCACCGGCUAACUACGUG